GCCUGGAUGGCUCAGUCGGUUGAGCAUCAGACUUUGGCUCAGGUCAUGAUCCUACUAUUCUUGGGUUUGAGUCCCACAUCAGGUU
RNAcentral lists this transfer RNA (85 nucleotides) under Felis catus (domestic cat). It matches the Rfam family "tRNA". From Rfam's summary of the family: Transfer RNA (tRNA) molecules are approximately 80 nucleotides in length. Their secondary structure includes four short double-helical elements and three loops (D, anti-codon, and T loops). Lineage: Eukaryota; Metazoa; Chordata; Mammalia; Carnivora; Felidae. The record is from Rfam by way of RNAcentral. RNAcentral also lists the same sequence under 4 other names.